UUGGGGUGAGGUAGUAGGUUGUAUAGUUUGGGGGUCGCUCCCUCUGUCUGUGAGAUAACUAUACAGUCUACUGUCUUUCCCGA
Non-coding RNA from Sarcophilus harrisii (Tasmanian devil), 83 nucleotides. NCBI's taxonomy places the organism in Eukaryota, Metazoa, Chordata, Mammalia, Dasyuromorphia, Dasyuridae. The record is from Rfam.